GUCAGGAUGGCCGAGAGGUCUAAUGUGCUGCGUUCAGGUCGCACUCUACUCUUUUAGGCGUGGGUUCGAAUCCCACUUCUGACA
Cordylochernes scorpioides is the source of this 84-nucleotide non-coding RNA. Lineage: Eukaryota; Metazoa; Arthropoda; Arachnida; Pseudoscorpiones; Chernetidae. The record is from the annotation of a GenBank genome assembly.